This 751-nucleotide ribosomal RNA is filed under the name uncultured bacterium. RNAcentral describes it as "bacterial SSU rRNA". It matches the Rfam family "Bacterial small subunit ribosomal RNA", at positions 90 to 897 of the family's 1533-position model. The record is from RNAcentral.
GCUUACUGGCGGACGGGUGAGUAACGCGUGAGAUUCCCGCCCUGAAGUGGGGAAUAACGGCGAGAAAUCGGCGCUAAUACCGCAUAAUGUCGGAGAUCCUCUUGUUUUUCCGACCAAAGGAUUUAUUCGCUUUAGGAUGGUCUCGCGUCCGAUUAGUUAGUUGGUGGGGUAACGGCCUACCAAGACCGCGAUCGGUAGCCGAACUGAGAGGUUGAUCGGCCACACUGGGACUGAGACUCUUUCUUUUUCUUCUUACGGGAGGCAGCAGUGGGGAUUAUUGGGCAUUGGGCGAAAGCCUGACCCAGCAAUGCCGCGUGAAGGAUGAAGGUCCUCCGGAUUGUAAACUUCUUUGAUUGGGGGAAGAAAACCAGGACCCAAAGAGGAGGGCGGCUAACUACGUGCCAGCAGCCGCGGUAAUACGUACCGUCACAACUCGCUCUCCUGAUUACUGGGUGUAAAGGGCGUGUAGGCGGCUUGCACCCCAUGUCAAAUUCCGAGCUCACUGGGCGCUGAUCUGAACUGCAAACCUGAUUGCUGAGAGGAAGCGGAAUUCCUAGUGUAGCGGCAAUGCGCGAAUUAGAGGAACACGUGGCGAUGCUGCUUUCCUGAACCGUACUGACCUGAGCCGAAGCGUGGGGAGCAAACGAUUAAUACCCUGUAGUCCACGCGUAACGAUGAAAUCUAGUGUAGGGUAUCGACUCCUCUGUGCCGAUCUAACACUUAGGAUCACUGGGGAUACGGCCAAGGUUGA